UUUUUUGAAAGCCAUUGAAACAGGCCUCAAACGGUGUUGUUGCUCAGUCACUAUAAAAACUAAAAAAACAAGAUUAAAAUGUGUUAGCCACUUUAAAAACAGAAUGGCAAAACCCUAGCCAUUAACUGUUCGGAAUCCUAGCCAUUCCAAGGCCCUUCGAUCCUCGCCAGAACUCCGAUUGUGACGGAGUGGGCAAGGAUUCAACAACACCAGGUAAUUUACUCGCCUUUUAACUGUUUCAUUUUCUUUUUUACACACAUUGAGCAAACAAAAUGGAUGAUUCAAGAACAGAAAAGAAAAGCAACGAAAAGAGAAAAAAAUAUCAAAUCACCUUUAGAAAAUUCUAUUUUUUUCUUCUUAGAUUUCUUUCUGGAAGUUUUUUUUCUGUAUCCCCUUUUACAAAUUUGCAAUCGACCUUAUAUAGCCGAAACAAUAAAUAAAAAUAAAUAAAAAUUAUUUCUGUUAUUCUGCUAUUUGUUGUUGUUGCUAUGCUAUUGUUUCUGUUUUUAGGUGAAACCACCGUAUGUAGGAGCCGUUCGUGGGGUGACGUGGAAGGGGCUAGAGGCGCGCGUGUAGGGGGAGCAGUGGCUGAAGGUUCUAGGGUUUUUUUUUAAAGUUUUGGGCUAAUUUGGGUUUUAGGCUUAGUAUUUUAGGUAGUAUUUUAGGCCUGCUAUUUUAUUGGAUUUGUAAUAAAAAAUUGGACUGUUAUUGGACUUUUAAUAAUUUGGACUUAUUUUAUGUUGUUUUUUAUUUGGUUUUUAAUUUAUUUUUUCAAUCGGGCUCAGGCAAAUUGGGCUAAUUACAGAAUCUAUCACCUCUUUGAGUCUCAUUGAUCCAUCAAUUUCAUUCAUGUGGGAGAUUGUUGGAAAAUAAUUGUUGUAUGAUG
Molecule: long non-coding RNA, 886 nt
Filed under: Gossypium barbadense (sea-island cotton)
Lineage: Eukaryota; Viridiplantae; Streptophyta; Magnoliopsida; Malvales; Malvaceae
Description: long non-coding RNA (GBAR_LNC020886)
Source: RNAcentral